Mesocricetus auratus (golden hamster) is the source of this 68-nucleotide non-coding RNA. The record is from Rfam. Lineage: Eukaryota; Metazoa; Chordata; Mammalia; Rodentia; Cricetidae.
AAAUGAUGAGAUCACCGAAAAUAGCUGAAAUUACUGGCAGGUUGGUAGUGGUAAGCCUAUGGUUUAAA